UACGGGGGGGGCAAGCGUUGUUCGGAAUUACUGGGCGUAAAGGGCGCGUAGGCGGUUGGAUAAGUCAGCUGGGAAAACCACGGGCUUAACUCGUGGCCUGCAGUUGAGACUGUCUGGCUUGAGUGUGGGAGAGGAGAGUGGAAUUCCUGGUGUAGCGGUGAAAUGCGUAGAUAUCAGGAGGAACACCGGUGGCGAAGGCGGCUCUCUGGACCACAACUGACGCUGAGGCGCGAAAGCUAGGGGAGCAAACAGG
RNAcentral lists this ribosomal RNA (253 nucleotides) under uncultured bacterium. RNAcentral's name for it is "partial 16S ribosomal RNA". It matches the Rfam family "Bacterial small subunit ribosomal RNA", at positions 524 to 776 of the family's 1533-position model. The record is from RNAcentral.